AAUUGUACGGUGGUGCAGUAUUCUAGUCAGAACACAUACGUAUGAGGGCGUGGUUAAAAUAACGCCGUAGGGCACAUCGAUGAAGUUUCUUGUGUUGGCUCGUUUUGCCCAAAUUCGGGUCGAUGCUGGGAGUUAAGAAUCGUGGGCGUUUCGUAACGGCAUACGGAAGCCGACCCACCUUUCGUGGAGACCUGCAAUGGUGGUCGAUUACUGGGCACUGUGCAGGAUUAAACCUGUAAUGCGGUAUCAAGCUGUGUGCAGUGUAGCCUGCCUUGAGUGAGAUAGGCGGAUUGGGAACCACACCGUUUGCGCCGGCAGGCGCAAACCGGUGAUUGCCCAUGAAACUUAAAUUGCAAAAGAGGAUAAGUCGUGUGUGGUCUGUUAAGGAAAUCUUCUAGACUGUAUUAGCAAUGUAAGGAUUAUAGUGCGACCUUAGUGGUGAUUCAGUUGCGUGUGGGGAGACCCCCGCCGUGCGGAUCAAAAGGAAACUGCGCGUUCGGCGACGGCGCGUUUCGCAUGGGGAAAUCCUACUGGACCUAUGGCGCAAGGUUUACUUGCAUUGCUACCACCGAUA
This 574-nucleotide small RNA is filed under the name bovine gut metagenome. The record is from RNAcentral.